Brassica napus (rape) is the source of this 1747-nucleotide long non-coding RNA. RefSeq lists it as uncharacterized. NCBI's taxonomy places the organism in Eukaryota, Viridiplantae, Streptophyta, Magnoliopsida, Brassicales, Brassicaceae. The record is from RefSeq and is a predicted model, not a curated record. The transcript has 3 exons.
GUUGCAUUUGAAACAAGCAAGGCCCUGUGACAAAAAAAAAAAGAAACAAGCAAGGCCUUAUUUAGUUCCUUAUUGUAAAAAGUAUGAUAUAUAUGCAUACGAUCGAUAUAUGCCUUUUGUUUUCCAAGACUUUAAUCCAUGUUACAUUAAGAGUCCUAAUUUUAUGAAUCAUGGUUCUUCGAAGAUUCAAUAUUAAAUUGUCCCUGUGACUGAAACCAAUGUUCAAAAAAUCGUUAAAAGAUAUUAGACGAUUUAUCGGGCAUUUAUAUCAGGUUUUUGAAUGUUUGGACCAAUUUUCUUAAAAAUCAUUCUAUAAAAAUUAUUUUCCUUUUUAAAUGUUCAAUUGGCCGUUUAGACGCCGCCGCCUCAACCGAUUUCUAGAACAAGAAGUACAGUACUUUUUUUUUCAUUUUACCACAUUACAAUCAUGAUAAAAUAAAGGAAAUAAUAGCCUCAUGAGUUGGUCUAGCGAUUACAGGUUUGAUUUGUUUUGGUGUGGUCCACACUACUUCAGACUCAUUUAACGCUCUUGCUGUCUUAGUUUUUAAAGAGGCUAAUAUACAGUAACCAUUAGGUUAACUCUUCUAAUAUAGUGUGGUCGGUCACCAAAAUCUUUCAAUAUAAGUAAAAGUUAACUCUUCUAGGUUGCUCACAUGCAAACUUUAGUUUCACCGGCUAGUCUAAACCGCAACUUUGGCAUGAUUUUUGCUUUUCGUUUGUUGGAGGUGGAUUCCAUUCAAAACAGGUCCACUAAAAAAUACAGAAUCCCACAAAGCUGCUAGGCCUAGCUUGAAAAAGGCAUGCCUAACAACUGUACAAAUUACACAUGUGACAUGACAUUGUUGAUCAAACGCCUGAAGGAGAAGCACCUCAGAAGAAGGGGAUCCGCAUACCUGACCUCCAAAGAGAAACUUAGAGAGUGAAGACCUCAUAUCAUCAUUGAAGUCUGAUCUUAGAUCUUCGGAGUCUUUUCCCAAACCCUCUUCAUUUUCAUUAGAAUUUGCAUUGUAUUUGUAACCCUAACCACUUUUGUAAUCAUUUUAUAGGCACAACUUAGAUAUAUUGAAAUAAUCUGGUCCAUAUGUCCCUAUAUCCUGAAGAUUUACCGCAUUCUAGGAGUAACCUAAAACUUUUCAUUUACUAGUAGCAUAAUCCGUUUCCCAGUGCACAACCAAAGUUUUUUGGUGCACAACCAAAGUUCAACUCUAAACGGCUUGAUCUGUUUAACUUGUACCGAGAGGUGGUUUGAUUUUGAUCAACCCAGACAGCAUUAUGGUGAGCUAAUGAGAGUAUUUUCAGGUUGUAACACGUGGAGUCCACGUAGGGAAUGGGAUCAACUGGAAAGGACAAGUUUUCUCAAAAGAUGGCGGAACCACACUCAAAAACAGAAUGACUGUAAAGUACAUUAAGAAUGUGGUUGAAGCAGUAGCACGGCAGGUGACUGGGUGAACUGUGGAGAAUGGGCUCAGUUCAGAUGUGACAGAAGGCCAGGCCUUGGCGCCUUCAAGGAUUACGCGAAAGCGGAUGGAUUCGAAUGUGUGCCCAAACUGUAGCGUCUGUAAUUACAGGAACAAGUCGCAGAAGACCUCUAAUGGCUUACUUGUCCCUUAGCUUCACGUUUCUUCUUUCAUUGUACCUUUUCUUUUUAAAAUGAUUGAUUCCUCCUCCUCUUACGAUCUUUUUUUGCAAUGCAUGUUUCAUUCUAAUUAUUAUCAUAUAUAUAUAUAUAUAUAUAUAUAAAUUUGUU